Molecule: ribosomal RNA, 274 nt
Filed under: uncultured bacterium
Lineage: Bacteria
Description: partial 16S ribosomal RNA
Rfam family: Bacterial small subunit ribosomal RNA
Source: RNAcentral
AUACGGAGGGUCCGAGCGUUAUCCGGAAUCAUUGGGUUUAAAGGGUCCGUAGGCGGGAAUCUAAGUCAGUGGUGAAAUCUUGUAGCUCAACUGUAAAAUUGCCAUUGAUACUGGAUUUCUUGAAUUAGUGUGAAGUGGUUAGAAUGUGUAGUGUAGCGGUGAAAUGCAUAGAUAUUACACAGAAUGCCAAUUGCGAAGGCAGAUCACUAACACUAUAUUGACGCUAAGGGACGAAAGCGUGGGGAGCGAACAGGAUUAGAAACCCCAGUAGUCC